This 484-nucleotide ribosomal RNA is filed under the name uncultured bacterium. Its description in RNAcentral is "partial 16S ribosomal RNA". It matches the Rfam family "Bacterial small subunit ribosomal RNA", at positions 30 to 507 of the family's 1533-position model. The record is from RNAcentral.
AUUGAACGCUAGCGGGAUGCUUUACACAUGCAAGUCGAACGGCAGCGCGGACUUCGGUCUGGCGGCGAGUGGCGAACGGGUGAGUAAUGUAUCGGAACGUGCCCAGUAGCGGGGGAUAACUACGCGAAAGCGUAGCUAAUACCGCAUACGCCCUACGGGGGAAAGCAGGGGAUCGUAAGACCUUGCACUAUUGGAGCGGCCGAUAUCGGAUUAGCUAGUUGGUGAGGUAACGGCUCACCAAGGCGACGAUCCGUAGCUGGUUUGAGAGGACGACCAGCCACACUGGGACUGAGACACGGCCCAGACUCCUACGGGAGGCAGCAGUGGGGAAUUUUGGACAAUGGGGGCAACCCUGAUCCAGCCAUCCCGCGUGUGCGAUGAAGGCCUUCGGGUUGUAAAGCACUUUUGGCAGGAAAGAAACGUCGCGUGCUAAUACCCCGUGGAACUGACGGUACCUGCAGAAUAAGCACCGGCUAACUACGUG